This 146-nucleotide ribosomal RNA is filed under the name Clostridium perfringens. Its description in RNAcentral is "partial 16S ribosomal RNA". It matches the Rfam family "Bacterial small subunit ribosomal RNA", at positions 1 to 145 of the family's 1533-position model. Lineage: Bacteria; Bacillati; Bacillota; Clostridia; Eubacteriales; Clostridiaceae. The record is from RNAcentral.
UAAAUUGAGAGUUUGAUCCUGGCUCAGGAUGAACGCUGGCGGCGUGCUUAACACAUGCAAGUCGAGCGAUGAAGUUUCCUUCGGGAAACGGAUUAGCGGCGGACGGGUGAGUAACACGUGGGUAACCUGCCUCAUAGAGUGGAAUA